GGACCCGUAGUAUAGCCUGGAUAGCAUAGGAGCCUCCGGAGCUCUAGACCCGAGUUCGAAUCUCGGCGGGUCCGCCA
Molecule: transfer RNA, 77 nt
Filed under: Candidatus Methanoplasma porotermitis
Lineage: Archaea; Methanobacteriati; Thermoplasmatota; Thermoplasmata; Methanomassiliicoccales; Methanomassiliicoccaceae
Description: tRNA-Arg
Rfam family: tRNA
About the family: Transfer RNA (tRNA) molecules are approximately 80 nucleotides in length. Their secondary structure includes four short double-helical elements and three loops (D, anti-codon, and T loops).
Source: RNAcentral